This 253-nucleotide ribosomal RNA is filed under the name uncultured bacterium. RNAcentral's name for it is "partial 16S ribosomal RNA". It matches the Rfam family "Bacterial small subunit ribosomal RNA", at positions 524 to 776 of the family's 1533-position model. The record is from RNAcentral.
UACGUAGGUGGCAAGCGUCGUCCGGAAUGACUGGGCGUAAAGGGUGCGUAGGCGGCCUGUCAAGUUAGAAGUGUAAUACCUGGGCUCAACUUAGGUGCUACUUCUAAGACUGAUGGGCUUGAGUGUGGGAGAGGUAAGUGGAAUUCCUAGUGUAGCGGUGGAAUGCGUAGAUAUUAGGAGGAACACCAGCGGCGAAGGCGGCUUACUGGACCAUAACUGACGCUGAGGCACGAAAGCGUGGGGAGCAAACAGG